GGUGCUCGACACCAAGACUUACUGACUGACUUGCCGUCAGUCGCAAUGUGACUUUGACUUUGGCCAAGUCCUUGGGAGGAAGCAAAAGUCAUAACCAUACCGAAUGCCGGCAGCUUGUGUCAGCUGUUGAUUAUCUGCACUCAAAAUGUCUGUCACCGGGGUGUCAAAUGUGAGAGUCUCCUUCUAAGCAGCAAUGACUGUGUGAAGUUAGCCGAUUUAGGGUUCACCUGGAGGUGCUGGGGUGAAGACAGUUAUCAUGUUCUGAGUCAGACAUUCUGUGGUAGCUUCUGUUAUACGUCGCCAGAGGUAAUACAGUGGCAGUUAAUAUGCUGACAAGACAUCUGUGUAAGCCACGGUGAGCCAGAGUAAGAGAUGGGAAUAGGGAGGAGCAGAAAUGGGAG
Molecule: long non-coding RNA, 401 nt
Organism: Cryptotermes secundus
Lineage: Eukaryota; Metazoa; Arthropoda; Insecta; Blattodea; Kalotermitidae
Exons: 3
Source: RefSeq, a predicted model, not a curated record